Molecule: ribosomal RNA, 253 nt
Filed under: uncultured bacterium
Lineage: Bacteria
Description: partial 16S ribosomal RNA
Rfam family: Bacterial small subunit ribosomal RNA
Source: RNAcentral
UACAGAGGGUGCGAGCGUUGCUCGGAAUUACUGGGCGUAAAGCGUGCGUAGACGGUCAUGUAAGUCGGAUGUGAAAGCCCCGGGCUCAACCUGGGAAUUGCAUUCGAGACUGCAUGGCUUGGGUGCGGAAGAGGGAAGCGGAAUUUCCGGUGUAGCGGUGAAAUGCGUAGAUAUCGGAAGGAACACCAGUGGCGAAAGCGGCUUCCUGGUCCGACACCGACGUUCAGGCACGAAAGCGUGGGGAGCAAACAGG